This 465-nucleotide ribosomal RNA is filed under the name Vreelandella stevensii. RNAcentral describes it as "partial 16S ribosomal RNA". It matches the Rfam family "Bacterial small subunit ribosomal RNA", at positions 338 to 795 of the family's 1533-position model. Lineage: Bacteria; Pseudomonadati; Pseudomonadota; Gammaproteobacteria; Oceanospirillales; Halomonadaceae. The record is from RNAcentral.
CCUACGGGCGGCUGCAGUGGGGAAUAUUGGACAAUGGGGGCAACCCUGAUCCAGCCAUGCCGCGUGUGUGAAGAAGGCCCUCGGGUUGUAAAGCACUUUCAGUGAGGAAGAACGCCUGGUGGUUAAUACCCAUCAGGAAAGACAUCACUCACAGAAGAAGCACCGGCUAACUCCGUGCCAGCAGCCGCGGUAAUACGGAGGGUGCGAGCGUUAAUCGGAAUUACUGGGCGUAAAGCGCGCGUAGGUGGCUUGAUAAGCCGGUUGUGAAAGCCCCGGGCUCAACCUGGGAACGGCAUCCGGAACUGUCAAGCUAGAGUGUAGGAGAGGAAGGUAGAAUUCCCGGUGUAGCGGUGAAAUGCGUAGAGAUCGGGAGGAAUACCAGUGGCGAAGGCGGCCUUCUGGACUGACACUGACACUGAGGUGCGAAAGCGUGGGUAGCAAACAGGAUUAGAUACCCUUGUAGUC